UGGCUCAGGACGAACGCUGGCGGCAUGCCUAACACAUGCAAGUCGAACGGAGAUUAUUUCGGUAAUCUUAGUGGCGAACGGGUGAGUAACGCGUAGGCAACCUGCCCUUUAGUUGGGGACAACAUCCCGAAAGGGGUGCUAAUACCGAAUGUGAUCGCUUUCUCGCAUGAGAGAGCGAUGAAAGAUGGCCUCUAUUUAUAAGCUAUCGCUAAAGGAUGGGCCUGCGUCUGAUUAGCUAGUUGGUGGGGUAACGGCUCACCAAGGCGAUGAUCAGUAGCCGGUCUGAGAGGAUGAACGGCCACAUUGGGACUGAGACACGGCCCAGACUCCUACGGGAGGCAGCAGUGGGGAAUCUUCCGCAAUGGGCGAAAGCCUGACGGAGCAAUGCCGCGUGAGUGAUGAAGGAAUUCGUUCCGUAAAGCUCUUUUGUUUAUGACGAAUGUGCAGACUGUGAAUAAUGGUUUGUAAUGACGGUAGUAAACGAAAAAGCAACGGCUAACUACGUGCCAGCAGCCGCGGUAAUACGUAGGUUGCAAGCGUUGUCCGGAUUUACUGGGUGUAAAGGGCGUGUAGGCGGAGCUGCAAGUCAGAUGUGAAAUCCCGGGGCUCAACCCCGGAACUGCAUUUGAAACUGUAGCCCUUGAGUAUCGGAGAGGCAAGCGGAAUUCCUAGUGUAGCGGUGAAAUGCGUAGAUAUUAGGAGGAACACCAGUGGCGAAGGCGGCUUGCUGGACGACAACUGACGCUGAGGCGCGAAAGCGUGGGGAGCAAACAGGAUUAGAUACCCUGGUAGUCCACGCUGUAAACGAUGAAUACUAGGUGUGGGAGGACUGACCCCUUCCGUGCCGCAGUUAACACAAUAAGUAUUCCACCUGGGGAGUACGACCGCAAGACUGAAACUCAAAGGAAUUGACGGGGGCCCGCACAAGCAGUGGAUUAUGUGGUUUAAUUCGACGCAACGCGAAGAACCUUACCAGGAUUUGACAUCCAACUAACGAAGCAGAGAUGCAUUAGGUGCCCUUCGGGGAAAGUUGAGACAGGUGGUGCAUGGUUGUCGUCAGCUCGUGUCGUGAGAUGUUGGGUUAAGUCCCGCAACGAGCGCAACCCCUAUUGUUAGUUGCUACGCGAGAGCACUCUAGCGAGACUGCCGUUGACAAAACGGAGGAAGGCGGGGACGACGUCAAAUCAUCAUGCCCCUUAUGUCCUGGGCUACACACGUAAUACAAUGGCCGUCAACAAAGGGAAGCGAAGCCGCGAGGUGGAGCAAACCCCCAAAAACGGUCUCAGUUCGGAUUGCAGGCUGCAACUCGCCUGCAUGAAGCUGGAAUUGCUAGUAAUCGUGGAUCAGCAUGCCACGGUGAAUACGUUCCCGGGCCUUGUACACACCGCCCGU
RNAcentral lists this ribosomal RNA (1392 nucleotides) under synthetic construct. Its description in RNAcentral is "bacterial SSU rRNA". It matches the Rfam family "Bacterial small subunit ribosomal RNA", at positions 20 to 1397 of the family's 1533-position model. RNAcentral also lists the same sequence under 2 other names. The record is from RNAcentral.